CAGCCGCCACGGUAAUACGAAGGGUGCAAGCGUUAAUCGGAAUUACUGGGCGUAAAGCGUGCGUAGGCGGUUUGUUAAGUCUGUAGUGAAAUCCCCGGGCUCAACCUGGGAAUGGCAAUGGAUACUGGCAAGCUAGAGUGUGUCAGAGGAUGGUGGAAUUCCCGGUGUAGCGGUGAAAUGCGUAGAGAUCGGGAGGAACAUCAGUGGCGAAGGCGGCCAUCUGGGACAACACUGACGCUGAGGCACGAAAGCGUGGGGAGCAAACAGGAUUAGAUACCCCGAGUAGUCCCUGUCUCUUAUA
RNAcentral lists this ribosomal RNA (301 nucleotides) under uncultured bacterium. RNAcentral describes it as "partial 16S ribosomal RNA". It matches the Rfam family "Bacterial small subunit ribosomal RNA", at positions 509 to 808 of the family's 1533-position model. The record is from RNAcentral.